RNAcentral lists this transfer RNA (72 nucleotides) under Ovis aries (sheep). It matches the Rfam family "tRNA". From Rfam's summary of the family: Transfer RNA (tRNA) molecules are approximately 80 nucleotides in length. Their secondary structure includes four short double-helical elements and three loops (D, anti-codon, and T loops). The record is from Rfam by way of RNAcentral. Lineage: Eukaryota; Metazoa; Chordata; Mammalia; Artiodactyla; Bovidae.
UCCCUGGAGUCUCAAAUGGUAAAGAAUCUGCCUGCAGUGUAGGAGAUCCAGGUUUAAUCCCUGGGUGGGGAA